Molecule: ribosomal RNA, 431 nt
Filed under: uncultured bacterium
Lineage: Bacteria
Description: partial 16S ribosomal RNA
Rfam family: Bacterial small subunit ribosomal RNA
Source: RNAcentral
AACGAACGCUGGCGGCAGGCCUAACACAUGCAAGUCGAGCGCCCUUUCGGGGGAGCGGCGGACGGGUGAGUAACGCGUGGGAAUAUGCCCUUCUCUACGGAAUAGCCUCGGGAAACUGAGAGUAAUACCGUAUACGCCCUGUGGGGGAAAGAUUUAUCGGGGAAGGAUUAGCCCGCGUUGGAUUAGGUAGUUGGUAGGGUAAUGGCCUACCAAGCCGACGAUCCAUAGCUGGUUUGAGAGGAUGAUCAGCCACACUGGGACUGAGACACGGCCCAGACUCCUACGGGAGGCAGCAGUGGGGAAUCUUAGACAAUGGGGGCAACCCUGAUCGAGCCAUGCCGCGUGAGUGAUGAAGGCCUUAGGGUUGUAAAGCUCUUUCAGCUGGGAAGAUAAUGACGGUACCAGCAAAAGAAGCCCCGGCUAACUCCGUG